CCUACGGGCGGCUGCAGUGAGGAAUAUUGGUCAAUGGGCGCGAGCCUGAACCAGCCAAGUAGCGUGAAGGAUGACUGCCCUACGGGUUGUAAACUUCUUUUAUAAAGGAAUAAAGUGAGGCACGUGAGCCUUUUUGUAUGUACUUUAUGAAUAAGGAUCGGCUAACUCCGUGCCAGCAGCCGCGGUAAUACGGAGGAUCCGAGCGUUAUCCGGAUUUAUUGGGUUUAAAGGGAGCGUAGAUGGGUUGUUAAGUCAGUUGUGAAAGUUUGCGGCUCAACCGUCAAAUUGCAAUUGAUACUGGCUGUCUUGAGUGCAGUUGAGGUAGGCGGAAUUCGUGGUGUAGCGGUGAAAUGCUUAGAUAUCACGAAGAACUCCGAUUGCGAAGGCAGCUUACUAAACUGCCACUGACAUUGAUGCACGAAAGUGUGGGUAUCAAACAGGAUUAGAUACCCGAGUAGUC
This 460-nucleotide ribosomal RNA is filed under the name uncultured bacterium. RNAcentral's name for it is "partial 16S ribosomal RNA". It matches the Rfam family "Bacterial small subunit ribosomal RNA", at positions 338 to 795 of the family's 1533-position model. The record is from RNAcentral.